GUCGAACGAACUCUGGUAUUGAUUGGUGCUUGCAUCAUGAUUUACAUUUGAGUGAGUGGCGAACUGGUGAGUAACACGUGGGAAACCUGCCCAGAAGCGGGGGAUAACACCUGGAAACAGAUGCUAAUACCGCAUAACAACUUGGACCGCAUGGUCCGAGUUUGAAAGAUGGCUUCGGCUAUCACUUUUGGAUGGUCCCGCGGCGUAUUAGCUAGAUGGUGAGGUAACGGCUCACCAUGGCAAUGAUACGUAGCCGACCUGAGAGGGUAAUCGGCCACAUUGGGACUGAGACACGGCCCAAACUCCUACGGGAGGCAGCAGUAGGGAAUCUUCCACAAUGGACGAAAGUCUGAUGGAGCAACGCCGCGUGAGUGAAGAAGGGUUUCGGCUCGUAAAACUCUGUUGUUAAAGAAGAACAUAUCUGAGAGUAACUGUUCAGGUAUUGACGGUAUUUAACCAGAAAGCCACGGCUAACUACGUGCCAGCAGCCGCGGUAAUACGUAGGUGGCAAGCGUUGUCCGGAUUUAUUGGGCGUAAAGCGAGCGCAGGCGGUUUUUUAAGUCUGAUGUGAAAGCCUUCGGCUCAACCGAAGAAGUGCAUCGGAAACUGGGAAACUUGAGUGCAGAAGAGGACAGUGGAACUCCAUGUGUAGCGGUGAAAUGCGUAGAUAUAUGGAAGAACACCAGUGGCGAAGGCGGCUGUCUGGUCUGUAACUGACGCUGAGGCUCGAAAGUAUGGGUAGCAAACAGGAUUAGAUACCCUGGUAGUCCAUACCGUAAACGAUGAAUGCUAAGUGUUGGAGGGUUUCCGCCCUUCAGUGCUGCAGCUAACGCAUUAAGCAUUCCGCCUGGGGAGUACGGCCGCAAGGCUGAAACUCAAAGGAAUUGACGGGGGCCCGCACAAGCGGUGGAGCAUGUGGUUUAAUUCGAAGCUACGCGAAGAACCUUACCAGGUCUUGACAUACUAUGCAAAUCUAAGAGAUUAGACGUUCCCUUCGGGGACAUGGAUACAGGUGGUGCAUGGUUGUCGUCAGCUCGUGUCGUGAGAUGUUGGGUUAAGUCCCGCAACGAGCGCAACCCUUAUUAUCAGUUGCCAGCAUUAAGUUGGGCACUCUGGUGAGACUGCCGGUGACAAACCGGAGGAAGGUGGGGAUGACGUCAAAUCAUCAUGCCCCUUAUGACCUGGGCUACACACGUGCUACAAUGGAUGGUACAACGAGUUGCGAACUCGCGAGAGUAAGCUAAUCUCUUAAAGCCAUUCUCAGUUCGGAUUGUAGGCUGCAACUCGCCUACAUGAAGUCGGAAUCGCUAGUAAUCGCGGAUCAGCAUGCCGCGGUGAAUACGUUCCCGGGCCUUGUACACACCGCCCGUCACACCAUGAGAGUUUGUAACACCCAAAGUCGGUGGGGUAACCUUUUAGA
Molecule: ribosomal RNA, 1420 nt
Filed under: Lactiplantibacillus plantarum
Lineage: Bacteria; Bacillati; Bacillota; Bacilli; Lactobacillales; Lactobacillaceae
Description: bacterial SSU rRNA
Rfam family: Bacterial small subunit ribosomal RNA
Source: RNAcentral